AUAGCGUAUAUUAAAGUUGUUGUGGUUAAAAAGCUCGUAGUUGAACCUUGGGCCUGGCUGGCCGGUCCGCCUCACCGCGUGUACUGGUCCGGCCGGGCCUUUCCCUCUGUGGAACCCCAUGCCCUUCACUGGGUGUGGCGGGGAAACAGGAUUUUUACUUUGAAAAAAUUAGAGUGCUCCAGGCAGGCCUAUGCUCGAAUACAUUAGCAUGGAAUAAUAGAAUAGGACGUGUGGUUCUAUUUUGUUGGUUUCUAGGGCCGCCGUAAUGAUUAAUAGGGACAGUCGGGGGCAUCAGUAUUCAAUUGUCAGAGGUGAAAUUCUUGGAUUUAUUGAAGACUAACUACUG
This 346-nucleotide ribosomal RNA is filed under the name uncultured eukaryote. RNAcentral's name for it is "SSU rRNA". It matches the Rfam family "Eukaryotic small subunit ribosomal RNA", at positions 594 to 945 of the family's 1831-position model. The record is from RNAcentral.